RNAcentral lists this small RNA (28 nucleotides) under Bombyx mori (domestic silkworm). RNAcentral's name for it is "ovarian small RNA-1541". Lineage: Eukaryota; Metazoa; Arthropoda; Insecta; Lepidoptera; Bombycidae. The record is from RNAcentral.
UGCAAAUACUGAUAAUACUGCGAUGGGU